RNAcentral lists this small RNA (29 nucleotides) under Bombyx mori (domestic silkworm). Its description in RNAcentral is "ovarian small RNA-27811". The record is from RNAcentral. Lineage: Eukaryota; Metazoa; Arthropoda; Insecta; Lepidoptera; Bombycidae.
UCCUCGCGACCCCGUGCCUCGCGGCAGCG